Molecule: ribosomal RNA, 1554 nt
Filed under: Salmonella enterica subsp. enterica serovar Anatum
Lineage: Bacteria; Pseudomonadati; Pseudomonadota; Gammaproteobacteria; Enterobacterales; Enterobacteriaceae
Description: bacterial SSU rRNA
Rfam family: Bacterial small subunit ribosomal RNA
Source: RNAcentral
AAAUUGAAGAGUUUGAUCAUGGCUCAGAUUGAACGCUGGCGGCAGGCCUAACACAUGCAAGUCGAACGGUAACAGGAAGCAGCUUGCUGCUUUGCUGACGAGUGGCGGACGGGUGAGUAAUGUCUGGGAAACUGCCUGAUGGAGGGGGAUAACUACUGGAAACGGUGGCUAAUACCGCAUAACGUCGCAAGACCAAAGAGGGGGACCUUCGGGCCUCUUGCCAUCAGAUGUGCCCAGAUGGGAUUAGCUAGUUGGUGAGGUAACGGCUCACCAAGGCGACGAUCCCUAGCUGGUCUGAGAGGAUGACCAGCCACACUGGAACUGAGACACGGUCCAGACUCCUACGGGAGGCAGCAGUGGGGAAUAUUGCACAAUGGGCGCAAGCCUGAUGCAGCCAUGCCGCGUGUAUGAAGAAGGCCUUCGGGUUGUAAAGUACUUUCAGCGGGGAGGAAGGUGUUGUGGUUAAUAACCGCAGCAAUUGACGUUACCCGCAGAAGAAGCACCGGCUAACUCCGUGCCAGCAGCCGCGGUAAUACGGAGGGUGCAAGCGUUAAUCGGAAUUACUGGGCGUAAAGCGCACGCAGGCGGUCUGUCAAGUCGGAUGUGAAAUCCCCGGGCUCAACCUGGGAACUGCAUUCGAAACUGGCAGGCUUGAGUCUUGUAGAGGGGGGUAGAAUUCCAGGUGUAGCGGUGAAAUGCGUAGAGAUCUGGAGGAAUACCGGUGGCGAAGGCGGCCCCCUGGACAAAGACUGACGCUCAGGUGCGAAAGCGUGGGGAGCAAACAGGAUUAGAUACCCUGGUAGUCCACGCCGUAAACGAUGUCUACUUGGAGGUUGUGCCCUUGAGGCGUGGCUUCCGGAGCUAACGCGUUAAGUAGACCGCCUGGGGAGUACGGCCGCAAGGUUAAAACUCAAAUGAAUUGACGGGGGCCCGCACAAGCGGUGGAGCAUGUGGUUUAAUUCGAUGCAACGCGAAGAACCUUACCUGGUCUUGACAUCCACAGAAGAAUCCAGAGAUGGAUUUGUGCCUUCGGGAACUGUGAGACAGGUGCUGCAUGGCUGUCGUCAGCUCGUGUUGUGAAAUGUUGGGUUAAGUCCCGCAACGAGCGCAACCCUUAUCCUUUGUUGCCAGCGGUUAGGCCGGGAACUCAAAGGAGACUGCCAGUGAUAAACUGGAGGAAGGUGGGGAUGACGUCAAGUCAUCAUGGCCCUUACGACCAGGGCUACACACGUGCUACAAUGGCGCAUACAAAGAGAAGCGACCUCGCGAGAGCAAGCGGACCUCAUAAAGUGCGUCGUAGUCCGGAUUGGAGUCUGCAACUCGACUCCAUGAAGUCGGAAUCGCUAGUAAUCGUGGAUCAGAAUGCCACGGUGAAUACGUUCCCGGGCCUUGUACACACCGCCCGUCACACCAUGGGAGUGGGUUGCAAAAGAAGUAGGUAGCUUAACCUUCGGGAGGGCGCUUACCACUUUGUGAUUCAUGACUGGGGUGAAGUCGUAACAAGGUAACCGUAGGGGAACCUGCGGUUGGAUCACCUCCUUACCUUAAAGAAGC